ACGGAGGAUGCAAGCGUUAUCCGGAUUCAUUGGGUUUAAAGGGUGCGUAGGCGGCUUUUUAAGUCAGUGGUGAAAUCCUGUCGCUUAACGAUAGAAUUGCCAUUGAUACUGAAGAGCUUGAGUUUAGUUGAGGUAAGCGGAAUGUGUAGUGUAGCGGUGAAAUGCUUAGAUAUUACACAGAACACCGAUUGCGAAGGCAGCUUACUAAACUAACACUGACGCUGAUGCACGAAAGCGUGGGGAGCGAACAGGAUUAGAUACCCUGGUAGUCCACGCCGUAAACGAUGCUCACUCGCUGUAUGCGAUACACAGUAUGCGGCCAAGCGAAAGCAUUAAGUGAGCCACCUGGGGAGUACGAUCGCAAGGUUG
This 369-nucleotide ribosomal RNA is filed under the name uncultured bacterium. RNAcentral's name for it is "bacterial SSU rRNA". It matches the Rfam family "Bacterial small subunit ribosomal RNA", at positions 525 to 896 of the family's 1533-position model. The record is from RNAcentral.